CAUUUUUUAUUUAUUUAUUAUUAUUUCACAGAGAAUUCCUCAUGGAACUCUGGGAAAAUUAUUUGCUACUUCACCUGAAUACGCACACAACCAUUUUCUGAAAAUUGAAGCUUUAUGUAUGCAUUGGUUUCUUAUCGUUCUAAGGACUAAUCACAGAAAUGGGGAACACAGUGCACGUCAUAUUCGUUUUAACAUUAUAACUUGUGUGUUCAGUGCAUUCGCAUGUUUUGAUUUUGAUGUCUAUAACUAUGAUAUGACUGCGUAAAUGAUCAUGGAUAUGAAAAAUCACUCAUUCCCUUUUUGUUUUCUUAUAUCUCCAUCAUCGUCGGAACUUAGAACAGUUGUCAGUCGUCAAUUUUUAUUUAUUUAUUUAUUUUAUGUAUGCUAAUGCUACUAUCUACAGGAAAUAGUAUUUGAAUUUUGUAACUUGAGCAUGAUGCAUGUUCUGACGUGAAAUUCAACGUGAUCAGAGAGGAUUUCCAUUCCAAUGCUCAACAAGUAUGUGGAGAAACUACGUAGGGCAUAAUAAAAUCACAUGGUGAAAGCUGCGCAGAUCAUAUGAGGCACCACUAGGAACUCAGAACCAACCAAGAACUGCUGAUAACUCAAGUGAUGCACACGUUCAUCAUUCGGAUAAUGAAGAAAUAGGUGGCGACAUACGGGCAAUCCUUUCUGUGCAGCUUCCUGUUUACAAAGAACAUUAAAAGGACCAUUUUAAAUGCUUGCUGAGUUUGCUCAAUAUAAAGUUAAAUUAGUGUGUAACGGUAGAUUUUGGGAUCACCUUCACCAGUUGAAGUCGGUAAAAUUUCCAUGCUACGUAUACUUUUGCUGAGCGCGCAAAAUGAGAGAAAGUUUGUUGAUUUGAGUAAAACUGGCUGUUACAUGAUGGUUUGUUUCCCUGCUUGUUGGUCAAACAUCAGUAACUCAUUUCUAUCACAAACUUUAAAUGAUGAAAUCUAUUGAGUAAUAGAAUAAGUAUGUAACAGAACAUUUGUAUGAUCAGCUAAGUUGCUCCACUCUACAUGGACAAUACCGCAUCACUUUUAGUCCCUUUUCAGAGUAAUGUAUUUCACUUACUUCAUGGGUGCGGAAGACUGUGGUAAAAGAAUUUAGCUCCAUCCAUCUCAAAAGCAAUUCUUCACUUCUACUAUAUUUAACUAUAGUGAUUCAAGGGAAGCAUUACCGGAGCUAGACAGGGAUUGCAAUAUGUCAUCACUUUUAUAUGCUGAGAGCUAAG
This is a non-coding RNA of Cajanus cajan (pigeon pea), 1237 nucleotides long. Lineage: Eukaryota; Viridiplantae; Streptophyta; Magnoliopsida; Fabales; Fabaceae. The record is from RefSeq and is a predicted model, not a curated record.